Long non-coding RNA from Daphnia carinata, 927 nucleotides. RefSeq lists it as uncharacterized. NCBI's taxonomy places the organism in Eukaryota, Metazoa, Arthropoda, Branchiopoda, Diplostraca, Daphniidae. The record is from RefSeq and is a predicted model, not a curated record. The transcript is spliced from 13 exons.
CGUACACCAAGCAUUCCAGCAUGGCUUCUCCAUUACUGCAGUACGUCUGUACUAUCAUUUUCGUCCAUUGCAAUGCGUUGAAGGACUAACGUAGUUGACUUUUUAAAAAGGGGAGCUUCUGUUUCUUCGCUGCCCUAGGAGUGUUCAGGGGUUUCGUGUGAUGUUUGGCAUUGGGUGUGGAGUUUGCUGCUCCAUCUGUUAAGUGAUCCCGUCAUGGUUUUCCUGUUGGGUGUAUUCACUUGUGGGAUAAUUUUUGCAGGGAAUGCUUGGUUUGAGUCCAAUGGACUAUGCUGAGGUGGGCUCCUGUACCUUGGGUUUGCUGAUAUUGGCCGGUGGUGCUUUCGAUUGAGGAAUGUUGUGGCUAUCUUACAAGUUUCAGCAGUUGGAAAAUUGACUGUUGCUGAUUUCUGGACAGCUUUUGGCGUACAAUGGCGGUUGGUGGAAUGAUUCUUCGAGUGGAAGCGAGAAUCCAAGUUACAGUUCGGUGUGUUGGUGAUUGGACUUCCCUCCAGCUGAAAUGCUGCUUGCAGCUGUAGCUUGGAAUACUGGGACGUUUUGGCCGGCAAAGCUUGGAGGGGUGAAGUGGGGCUUCAAUCGUUUGUGAGAAUUGCGGCUGUCGGAGAGCUCCAGUGAUGGUGGAUGUCGCAUCGGUUCUGGACAUUGUCGAUGACCGUGCAGCACGUUGGUGUCGUAGACACAUUGAUAUUAGGUGCUGUGCAAGAAUCAGACAUUGUAUUCGAUGUUCGUUAGAUAUAACCUGGAAUUGCAAGGGCUGGCCUUCAAUUAGGAGAUUCGUAGGCAUUCGUGAGCCGUCCGAUUUUCUUCACGACCGGUUCUACCAUUCCUUCAGCAAUCGUCGGAGAAAUUUCAAUGUUGUGCAAGUUUCAACUUUUGCAUUGAAAUGUUGAAUACAAAAAGUUCCACAAA